Molecule: long non-coding RNA, 1279 nt
Filed under: Homo sapiens (human)
Lineage: Eukaryota; Metazoa; Chordata; Mammalia; Primates; Hominidae
Description: HSALNT0295061
Source: RNAcentral
AAUCUUUAUGUGCUCCCUGCCUGAAUCUACCAGCCAGCGAAUGACAACUGACUGAGUAGAAAUACUAGGACUACAGAACCGUGAUAAAAGGAGUCUCCUGCCCCUGGCCAGGGAGAGCCACAGGCUGGAUGACAUCUGGUUUAUAGUGAGGGGCAGCAGCAACUCCAAGAGGGGGAAGAUGUGACCAUGAGCCCCGCCCCAGACCCAGGAGGCUUGACCUUGGGGCUGCCGUAGCAGUGGAUGCUCUUCAGCUGAAUGACCUAUCCUGGGCCCGUGACCCUGGACUUCAGCCAGAUCAGCAUCUCAAGCUCCCACCCAGGUGGCCUGUCCUCACGGGCCUUGGAGUGGAGACUUGAGCCACCACCUGUCAGAGGUGGAGACUUCACAGGCACAGCUGGAGCCAAGAACCCUGGUGCCCAAUUGUCUGUGACUGCAACUGGAUCAAGGGUUUGACUGUGGCUAUGGCUUAGCCAGGCGGGAUGUUUCCUCCACCACCUGCAGCUUCACAACCAACGGUGAUCCUGGGAACCAAUGGCCCUUCCAAGAGCUGGGUUUAGAGCCUUCCCUUGAAUGAAGAACCCUCCCCAGCUGGAAGGUGAUGCUAUUGAAGGCUCAGCUGACAACAUACAUGGGCAUCAAGUCAUUGGCCACAUUCAUGCCUCAAGUGUCCUAAAACCGAAGAUGAUCAAAAGAAAACUGCUGUUCAGCAAGUGGAGACUGGCAUGCAGAUUCCCUGGCCUGCAAGCUUAGAGCAGGAAGAUACUAAAUGCUGCUGGAACAAUGAAAAGAAAGAACGGAUGUCACAAAAAGCAUUUUCAUUUGAUGAAUAGAACUAAAAGAGCAAAGCAAUUGAAAGCUCAACACAACACAGGAGGGAUCCAUGGCUGAGGAUUGUAUUUCAGAACCACUGACUGCUCUUGACAAUUGUUAACCCACUAGGCUCCUUUGGUUAGAGAAGCCACAGUCCUUCAGCCUCCACUUGAUACCAAUACUUAGGAAGACCAAAGCCAGAUGGACAAACAGCAUUGAGAGGCUUUAGCCCUACUCCUCUCAGCUUCCAUCCUGUAGAGAACAGGAGUCAGGAGCUGCUGGCAGGAGACAGCAUGUCACUUGGGACUCUGCCAGUGCAGAAUACGAACAAUGCCAUGUUCUUGCUAAAAAUGCUUAGCUUGAGUUUCAUAGGAGGUAAUCACCAGAUAGACAACUGCAGAAUGUAGAAUACUGAGCAGGACAAUAACCUGUCUCCUUCAGACAGUCCAUGUCACCACGAAUCACACAA